GUACGCAUUUCAUUGACCUGCCUUCUCUCGUAUAUGUGAGCCCUGUUAUUUCUUAUGUGCUAUACAAAUAACUGAAGGUUCAUUAGCAGUAUAACUAUAUAGUAAUGCUGCCAGUCUCCUUCAGACAAAU
RNAcentral lists this small nucleolar RNA (130 nucleotides) under Catagonus wagneri (Chacoan peccary). The record is from RNAcentral. Lineage: Eukaryota; Metazoa; Chordata; Mammalia; Artiodactyla; Tayassuidae.